This 3010-nucleotide ribosomal RNA is filed under the name Salmonella enterica subsp. enterica. RNAcentral's name for it is "23S ribosomal RNA". It matches the Rfam family "Bacterial large subunit ribosomal RNA". The record is from RNAcentral. Lineage: Bacteria; Pseudomonadati; Pseudomonadota; Gammaproteobacteria; Enterobacterales; Enterobacteriaceae.
GGUUAAGCGACUAAGCGUACACGGUGGAUGCCCUGGCAGUCAGAGGCGAUGAAGGGCGUGCUAAUCUGCGAUAAGCGCCGGUAAGGUGAUAUGAACCGUUAUAACCGGCGAUACCCGAAUGGGGAAACCCAGUGUGACUCGUCACACUAUCAUUAACUGAAUCCAUAGGUUAAUGAGGCGAACCGGGGGAACUGAAACAUCUAAGUACCCCGAGGAAAAGAAAUCAACCGAGAUUCCCCCAGUAGCGGCGAGCGAACGGGGAGGAGCCCAGAGCCUGAAUCAGCAUGUGUGUUAGUGGAAGCGUCUGGAAAGGCGCGCGAUACAGGGUGACAGCCCCGUACACAAAAGCGCAUGUGCUGUGAGCUCGAUGAGUAGGGCGGGACACGUGGUAUCCUGUCUGAAUAUGGGGGGACCAUCCUCCAAGGCUAAAUACUCCUGACUGACCGAUAGUGAACCAGUACCGUGAGGGAAAGGCGAAAAGAACCCCGGCGAGGGGGGAGUGAAAAAGAACCUGAAACCGUGUACGUACAAGCAGUGGGAGCCCCACCACCAAAGCAUUCUCUGGUGUUGAAGGCCCUGCAAAGCAGCAUCGCGGUGGCGGAGCGUCGUUUGCGACGCCCAACACACAAAACAAGCGGUGAAUGCUUUGGGGUGGGGUGACUGCGUACCUUUUGUAUAAUGGGUCAGCGACUUAUAUUCUGUAGCAAGGUUAACCGAAUAGGGGAGCCGGAGGGAAACCGAGUCUUAAUUGGGCGUUAAGUUGCAGGGUAUAGACCCGAAACCCGGUGAUCUAGCCAUGGGCAGGUUGAAGGUUGGGUAACACUAACUGGAGGACCGAACCGACUAAUGUUGAAAAAUUAGCGGAUGACCUGUGGCUGGGGGUGAAAGGCCAAUCAAACCGGGAGAUAGCUGGUUCUCCCCGAAAGCUAUUUAGGUAGCGCCUCGUGAAUUCAUCUCCGGGGGUAGAGCACUGUUUCGGCUAGGGGGCCAUCCCGGCUUACCAACCCGAUGCAAACUGCGAAUACCGGAGAAUGUUAUCACGGGAGACACACGGCGGGUGCUAACGUCCGUCGUGAAGAGGGAAACAACCCAGACCGCCAGCUAAGGUCCCAAAGUCAUGGUUAAGUGGGAAACGAUGUGGGAAGGCCCAGACAGCCAGGAUGUUGGCUUAGAAGCAGCCAUCAUUUAAAGAAAGCGUAAUAGCUCACUGGUCGAGUCGGCCUGCGCGGAAGAUGUAACGGGGCUAAACCAUGCACCGAAGCUGCGGCAGCGACGCUGAUGCGUUGUUGGGUAGGGGAGCGUUCUGUAAGCCUGCGAAGGUGACCUGUGAGGGUUGCUGGAGGUAUCAGAAGUGCGAAUGCUGACAUAAGUAACGAUAAAGCGGGUGAAAAGCCCGCUCGCCGGAAGACCAAGGGUUCCUGUCCAACGUUAAUCGGGGCAGGGUGAGUCGACCCCUAAGGCGAGGCCGAAAGGCGUAGUCGAUGGGAAACGGGUUAAUAUUCCCGUACUUGGUGUUACUGCGAAGGGGGGACGGAGAAGGCUAUGUUGGCCGGGCGACGGUUGUCCCGGUUUAAGCGUGUAGGUGUGUGUUCCAGGUAAAUCCGGUUCACUUUAACACUGAGGCGUGAUGACGAGGCACUACGGUGCUGAAGCAACAAAUGCCCUGCUUCCAGGAAAAGCCUCUAAGCAUCAGGUAACAUCAAAUCGUACCCCAAACCGACACAGGUGGUCAGGUAGAGAAUACCAAGGCGCUUGAGAGAACUCGGGUGAAGGAACUAGGCAAAAUGGUGCCGUAACUUCGGGAGAAGGCACGCUGACACGUAGGUGAAGUGAUUUACUCACGGAGCUGAAGUCAGUCGAAGAUACCAGCUGGCUGCAACUGUUUAUUAAAAACACAGCACUGUGCAAACACGAAAGUGGACGUAUACGGUGUGACGCCUGCCCGGUGCCGGAAGGUUAAUUGAUGGGGUCAGCGCAAGCGAAGCUCCUGAUCGAAGCCCCGGUAAACGGCGGCCGUAACUAUAACGGUCCUAAGGUAGCGAAAUUCCUUGUCGGGUAAGUUCCGACCUGCACGAAUGGCGUAAUGAUGGCCAGGCUGUCUCCACCCGAGACUCAGUGAAAUUGAACUCGCUGUGAAGAUGCAGUGUACCCGCGGCAAGACGGAAAGACCCCGUGAACCUUUACUAUAGCUUGACACUGAACAUUGAGCCUUGAUGUGUAGGAUAGGUGGGAGGCUUUGAAGUGUGGACGCCAGUCUGCAUGGAGCCGACCUUGAAAUACCACCCUUUAAUGUUUGAUGUUCUAACGUGGACCCGUGAUCCGGGUUGCGGACAGUGUCUGGUGGGUAGUUUGACUGGGGCGGUCUCCUCCUAAAGAGUAACGGAGGAGCACGAAGGUUGGCUAAUCCUGGUCGGACAUCAGGAGGUUAGUGCAAUGGCAUAAGCCAGCUUGACUGCGAGCGUGACGGCGCGAGCAGGUGCGAAAGCAGGUCAUAGUGAUCCGGUGGUUCUGAAUGGAAGGGCCAUCGCUCAACGGAUAAAAGGUACUCCGGGGAUAACAGGCUGAUACCGCCCAAGAGUUCAUAUCGACGGCGGUGUUUGGCACCUCGAUGUCGGCUCAUCACAUCCUGGGGCUGAAGUAGGUCCCAAGGGUAUGGCUGUUCGCCAUUUAAAGUGGUACGCGAGCUGGGUUUAGAACGUCGUGAGACAGUUCGGUCCCUAUCUGCCGUGGGCGCUGGAGAACUGAGGGGGGCUGCUCCUAGUACGAGAGGACCGGAGUGGACGCAUCACUGGUGUUCGGGUUGUCAUGCCAAUGGCACUGCCCGGUAGCUAAAUGCGGAAGAGAUAAGUGCUGAAAGCAUCUAAGCACGAAACUUGCCCCGAGAUGAGUUCUCCCUGAGACUUUAGGUCUCCUGAAGGAACGUUGAAGACGACGACGUUGAUAGGCCGGGUGUGUAAGCGCAGCGAUGCGUUGAGCUAACCGGUACUAAUGAACCGUGAGGCUUAACCUU